This 254-nucleotide ribosomal RNA is filed under the name uncultured Thermovirga sp. Its description in RNAcentral is "partial 16S ribosomal RNA". It matches the Rfam family "Bacterial small subunit ribosomal RNA", at positions 1131 to 1382 of the family's 1533-position model. The record is from RNAcentral. Lineage: Bacteria; Thermotogati; Synergistota; Synergistia; Synergistales; Thermovirgaceae.
CCGGGCACUCUGGAGGGACUGCCGGCGACAAGCCGGAGGAAGGUGGGGAUGACGUCAAGUCAUCAUGGCCCUUAUGUCCAGGGCGACACACGUGCUACAAUGGCCGGCACAGCGGGAAGCGGAGGGGCGACCCUGAGCGGAUCCCUUGAAAGCCGGUCCCAGUUCGGAUUGCAGUCUGCAACUCGACUGCAUGAAGUUGGAAUCGCUAGUAAUCGCGGAUCAGCCAAGCCGCGGUGAAUACGUUCCCGGGCCUU